This 482-nucleotide ribosomal RNA is filed under the name uncultured bacterium. Its description in RNAcentral is "partial 16S ribosomal RNA". It matches the Rfam family "Bacterial small subunit ribosomal RNA", at positions 30 to 507 of the family's 1533-position model. The record is from RNAcentral.
AUUGAACGCUGGCGGCAUGCCUUACACAUGCAAGUCGAACGGUAACGGGCCUUCGGGUGCCGACGAGUGGCGAACGGGUGAGUAAUACAUCGGAACGUGCCCGAUCGUGGGGGAUAACGAGGCGAAAGCUUUGCUAAUACCGCAUACGAUCUACGGAUGAAAGCAGGGGACCGCAAGGCCUUGCGCGAACGGAGCGGCCGAUGGCAGAUUAGGUAGUUGGUGGGAUAAAAGCUUACCAAGCCGACGAUCCGUAGCUGGUCUGAGAGGAUGAUCAGCCACACUGGGACUGAGACACGGCCCAGACUCCUACGGGAGGCAGCAGUGGGGAAUUUUGGACAAUGGGCGCAAGCCUGAUCCAGCCAUGCCGCGUGCAGGAUGAAGGCCUUCGGGUUGUAAACUGCUUUUGUACGGAACGAAAAGCCUUCUUUUAAUACAGGAGGGUCAUGACGGUACCGUAAGAAUAAGCACCGGCUAACUACGUG